RNAcentral lists this long non-coding RNA (201 nucleotides) under Prunus persica (peach). RNAcentral's name for it is "long non-coding RNA (PPER_LNC000295)". Lineage: Eukaryota; Viridiplantae; Streptophyta; Magnoliopsida; Rosales; Rosaceae. The record is from RNAcentral.
CAGAGGACCCACUUGGAGCAAAUGCUCUCCCCAAGAAAGGUUCUGGAUUCGAGUCCUAGUAUCCGUGUACUGUGUGUGAGUUUAGUAUGUCAUCGUCCUUCUCAAUAGAAAAUGUCCUUAAAAAAAGAUUGGAGACAGGGGCUUUGAAAUCCCUGACCUCCAACUUAGCCUUCAAACACUACACCAUCGUGGUAACAUGUC